GGGGAUUUAGCUCAGAGGUAGAGCACUUGCCUAGCAAGCGCAAGGCCCUGGGUUCAAUCCCCAGCUCCG
Molecule: non-coding RNA, 69 nt
Organism: Rattus norvegicus (Norway rat)
Lineage: Eukaryota; Metazoa; Chordata; Mammalia; Rodentia; Muridae
Source: Rfam